RNAcentral lists this ribosomal RNA (455 nucleotides) under uncultured marine eukaryote. Its description in RNAcentral is "bacterial SSU rRNA". It matches the Rfam family "Eukaryotic small subunit ribosomal RNA", at positions 613 to 1066 of the family's 1831-position model. The record is from RNAcentral.
UUGCAGUUAAAAAGCUCGUAGUUGGAUUUCUGGGAUUUUCAGCCGGCCGGCUCUUAGGAGUUGUAGCUAGGUUUGCAAGUCUCAUCUUCUCACAAUUCUCACUGGCCUUAACUGUUCGGUGCAGAGGACUGAGUCGUUUACUUUGAGAAAAUUAGAGUGUUCAAAGCAGGCUAUCGCCUUGAAUAUAUUAGCAUGGAAUAAUGAUAUAGGACUUUGGUUCUAUUUUGUUGGUUGUUCGAGGACCGAAGUAAUGAUUGAUAGGGACGGUUGGGGGCGUCAGUAUUCUGAAGCGAGAGGUGAAAUUCUUGGACCUUCGGAAGACUAACAACUGCGAAAGCAUUCGCCUAGGAUGUUCUCUUUAAUCAAGAACGAAAGUUGGGGGAUCGAAGACGAUCAGAUACCGUCCGUAGUCUCAACCUAUAAACUAUGCCAGCCUAGGGAUUGGUGGAUGUUUA